CUACGGGGGGCUGCAGUGGGGAAUAUUGGACAAUGGGGGGAACCCUGAUCCAGCCAUGCCGCGUGAAUGAUGAAGGCCUUCGGGUUGUAAAAUUCUUUUGGUGGGGAAGAUGAUGACGGUACCCACAGAAUAAGCUCCGGCUAACUUCGUGCCAGCAGCCGCGGUAAUACGAAGGGAGCUAGCGUUGUUCGGAAUUACUGGGCGUAAAGGGCGCGUAGGCGGUAAGAACAGUCAGGUGUGAAAUCCCAGGGCUCAACCCUGGAACUGCGCUUGAUACUUUCUUGCUAGAAUUCGGUAGAGGUGAGUGGAAUUCCCAGUGUAGAGGUGAAAUUCGUAGAGAUUGGGAAGAACACCAGUGGCGAAGGCGGCUCACUGGACCGACAUUGACGCUGAGGCGCGAAAGCGUGGGGAGCAAACAGGAUUAGAUACCCCUGUAGUC
This 439-nucleotide ribosomal RNA is filed under the name uncultured bacterium. RNAcentral's name for it is "partial 16S ribosomal RNA". It matches the Rfam family "Bacterial small subunit ribosomal RNA", at positions 339 to 795 of the family's 1533-position model. The record is from RNAcentral.